CUUGCAAUCAGUUUUUUCUUGAUUUACACAUGCAAGUAUCCGCACCCCUGUGAAAACGCCCUUAAAUUCCCCCUUAGGAAUAAGGAGCUGGUAUCAGGCACAUUUUACUGCCCAAGACACCUAGCUACGCCACACCCACAAGGGACUUCAGCAGUGAUUAACUUUGAUUAUCAGCGACAGCUUGAUUCAGUUAAAGAAAACAGAGCCGGCUAAUCUGGUGCCAGCCGCCGCGGUUACACCACGUGGCUCAAAUUGACUUCUACCGGCGUAAAGAGUGAUUUAAGAACCUAAUAAAUUGAUGUCAAAUUUUAACUAAGCUGUGACACGCUUGUCCCUUAGAAGCACUAAGACGAAAGUUACACCAACUAAACCAACUUGA
RNAcentral lists this ribosomal RNA (379 nucleotides) under Adenomera heyeri. RNAcentral's name for it is "partial 12S ribosomal RNA". The record is from RNAcentral. Lineage: Eukaryota; Metazoa; Chordata; Amphibia; Anura; Leptodactylidae.